UGACUACUAAACCUUCUACGUGGACCGCUUUCUCUCUCUGAAUCCUCUCCCGCCUACUGCCUCUCUCUCUCUCAACGUUACAACUACCAGAAUCCGCCAUUUACAGCCACCAGAAUCCUCCUGUUCCUCUCAACCUCUCAUCUGAACUCAUCCUGCUCUUCUUCCAUUGAAGGUUUCUAUUGAAGCUCGAACUCUUGGAGUCGUCAUCCACUCCCUGAUAGCCCAUCGUUCGCUGCUCUCACUUCCUAUCGCCGCCGUUGGUGUUGGUCCGCCCGAUCACUGAGGAUCAACCUGCUACAAAUGAGGAUAUAAUUCAAUGAGACCAGACCACACUUAAAAUUUCAGUAUACGGUCAGUCUAUUGCAGGUCCAAGUUUUCGGUUCUCAGUUUCCGGUUCAACUCUAUGGCCUACCAACUGUUUGGUACUGGUUCUUGGUUUGGGACCUAACCAAGCCAAACUGGAAUGAACUUUAAAUCAGUAGACAGGCCCUUUCAGCCCCGAAGCAUCCCACAUCUUUUUGAAUUCUGAAUUCAUUCCUCAA
Malus domestica (apple) is the source of this 542-nucleotide non-coding RNA. NCBI's taxonomy places the organism in Eukaryota, Viridiplantae, Streptophyta, Magnoliopsida, Rosales, Rosaceae. The record is from RefSeq and is a predicted model, not a curated record.